Molecule: long non-coding RNA, 1722 nt
Filed under: Equus caballus (horse)
Lineage: Eukaryota; Metazoa; Chordata; Mammalia; Perissodactyla; Equidae
Description: lncRNA (ENSECAG00000044416.1)
Source: RNAcentral
UCAGAAGAAUAAACAGACCAGGAACAUAACACAUAAAUUUGUACCUCCAAAUUGUCCUUACCUUGAGACAAGAGGGUCAGCCUCCUUUCCGGCCCAAUUAUCAGGCACUGGGUGCCCCCAGGGUGGAGGGAAUAAUUUCUUCUGGGUAAAGAGGCUACUCCAGUGAUGAUAGUUCUUUGGAGAAGAAGACCAGCCGUGAACCCUUAGCAGCCAAAUUUAUGGCUGUUGGGGGACGCACACGCUGGUUCCAUCAAGGAGAGCUGGACAAGGCACCAACAUAUGUUGUGUAUAUACGAAUAAGAGUAUAUUGCAUUUACUACACGAAUGAAGGUAACAAAGGCAGUCACGCGUGCGUGCACACACAAGGACGGGGGUUAAUAGUGAGGAAAAAGAAAAAAGAGGAGAUUGACUUCUAUUUCCUCUAAAGGCUUGCAAGGUUAUUAUGAGGAUAAAAUGAGAUAAUACUUUAGGAAAUACUAGAAACUCAUGCCUCGUGCAUUCUCAAACCCAUCACAAGCAUUCCUGACUCCAUUGUGCCGUUCUCUUGGCCUUUGACAGCCCACCCCUCACAACCAAGUUUACCUGUGACUUCAAAGUGGCUAUCAGGUGCCUCCUCUUUGGAAGGCUCCCAGGCCUUGAGCCAAAUGCCCUGCUAGCAGCUGGGCUCAGCAAAAAUGCUCAAGUAUUUUUAGCCUCUAUUUGGGUAUACUGAUUUCCGGAACAAUAUCCUCUAAUUAUGGUGUCUAGGAUUGUAUCCUGCCUUCCCAGCCUUAUCCCACCAGAAGCAGUAAUUCUGCACUGUCUAGCAACUCUUUCCAGGUGCUCCACAAACCAAACAGGGCUUCUCAGACUUCUAGAUAUGCCAUCCUGGAACUGGCUUUAAUUUCAACACUCAUCAAAGUACUUUACUCAGAGCAAAGGGCAAUCUUUGAAUCUUCCCCUCAACAGGCUGUUCCAUGGUUUUCUCGUGCCAGUUGGCAUCCAGCACAAAGCACUGGCACAUUUUUGUUGUUGUUUCAGAACAAUACUGCCAAACACAAUUCCACAUUAACACCCCAUGGAGUGGGAAAAUGAAGUUUAUAGCCUAUUCUAGUUUCCUAUUGCCGAAUGGCAAGUCACACUAAAACUGAGUGGCUUGAAACAGCCAUUUUAUUAUUUCUCAUGGUUCUGUAGCUUUGCUUGGCUGGCUGGACAGUUUUAUUGGUCUUUCUUUGCGUCUUUCAUGCCACCUGCAGAUGGCAGUUGGGCCUGGCGUCAUCUGGAAGUUCAACUCGGAUGCUGGCUGAAGUCUUAGAGCAUCUCCUGCUUGUAAGGCUGCUCCAACAGGGUAGCAAGACUUGUUAUACAGUGGCUCAAGGAUCCCAAAGUGAGCAUUACAAGACAGAAGAAGUUGAAACCUGCCAUGUCUUCUUAAUGCCUGGUCUCAGGGCUCCCACAACAUCGUUUUCUACACAUUCUAUUGGUUAAAGUAGUCGCAAGCCCAGCUCAGAUUCAAGGUAAGUGAAAGUAUGUUUUACUUCUUGAUGGAAAACUCCCUGGGCUAAAAUCAAGAUGUCAACAGGGAUGUAUUUCUUCCUGGAAGUUCUAGGGGAGAAACUGUUUCCUUAUCUUCUCUAGCUCCUAGAGGCUGUCUGCAUUUCUUGGCUCUUGGCUCCUUGUAUCUUCAAGGCCGGCAUUGGCAGGGUGAGUCUCACAUCAUGUCUCUCUGACACUGACUGACUC